CGCCUUGCGCAGUGGCAAUAUCUUAACCAAUGAAGGUCCACCUGAGGUGCGAUUAUUGGCUAGUUGAAAACUUUUACCAAUUUAUUUAUAUUCUUCGUAUAUUUUUGCUUGUAGUUUUUUGACUGCUAAAAAUUUAG
Molecule: small nuclear RNA, 137 nt
Filed under: Rhodnius prolixus
Lineage: Eukaryota; Metazoa; Arthropoda; Insecta; Hemiptera; Reduviidae
Description: U4 spliceosomal RNA
Rfam family: U4 spliceosomal RNA
About the family: U4 small nuclear RNA (U4 snRNA) is a component of the major U2-dependent spliceosome. The structure of U4 snRNA from yeast and human has been reported.
Source: Rfam by way of RNAcentral